CGAUGAAGGAAGCAUGGUAAUGUGCGCAAAGAUUGAAUUUCAGGUUAACAUGUCUGCUCUCUGUGAUGCCUUUCGCGCUAUGAUCUGAGGGCCUGGUUCAUACCUAUAUUU
This is a non-coding RNA of Punica granatum (pomegranate), 111 nucleotides long. The record is from Rfam. Lineage: Eukaryota; Viridiplantae; Streptophyta; Magnoliopsida; Myrtales; Lythraceae.